AGCCUUAUAGUCUAGGUAGGACUAUAAAUUGCAAAUUUAUCAGAGGAGGGAUCCUAAGGCUU
Molecule: transfer RNA, 62 nt
Filed under: Myodermum sp. MYO01
Lineage: Eukaryota; Metazoa; Arthropoda; Insecta; Coleoptera; Scarabaeidae
Description: tRNA-Cys
Source: RNAcentral